This 2975-nucleotide unclassified non-coding RNA is filed under the name Harpegnathos saltator (Jerdon's jumping ant). RNAcentral's name for it is "serine/threonine-protein kinase fused, transcript variant X5". The record is from RNAcentral. Lineage: Eukaryota; Metazoa; Arthropoda; Insecta; Hymenoptera; Formicidae.
ACAAGACUAGAGUCUUUACUGCUGUCUCACCGAUGUUGGUAGUAGGAGAUGAAGAGAGGAGCAUAGACCGUUAAUCUGUGCCCUCGCGUUUUUGUUGAUUUUCGCGCAUUUAAUUUUCCGUCUCUAUUCAGCGCACACUCUAUCUCUCGUGUGCGUUGAGCGUAUUUUGUUUCGUCGCAUGCGCAUGCUGUGCGUACACGAGGAGCGCACUUUUUUAAUAUAUACAGUUUGAACGUUGUAUCUAUUUGAUAAGUUUCAACAUGAAGAAGUACGAAAUCUUGAGACAGAUCGGAGAGGGAUCUUUCGGGCAGGUGUAUAAAGCUAAGAAGCGGUCGGACGGCGAGGUUGUGGCCUUCAAAAUAAUACGCAAGCGCGGCAGGUCAUUUAAAGAGCUGAAGAGCUUGCGGCAGGAGUGCGAGAUUCAACGUCAUUUGCACCAUCCAAAUAUCGUGCAAAUGAUAGACUCGUUUGAGACGGACAAUGAGAUCGUGGUUAUAACAGAGUAUGCGGAUAAGGAACUUUAUGAGAUCCUGGAUAAGGAGGGCAGACUGUCCGAGGAAAGAGCGCAAGUGAUAGCUUGCGAUCUCGUGUCCGCUCUUUAUUACUUGCACUCCAACCGAGUGCUGCACAGAGACCUCAAGCCACAAAAUGUUCUUCUGGAGGCGAAUGGCGUGGCCAAGCUGUGUGAUUUUGGAUUUGCUCGUAGUAUGAGCACUGGUACUCACGUACUUACAUCGAUCAAAGGUACACCAUUGUACAUGGCACCAGAACUCAUAGAGGAAUGUCCUUAUGAUCACAAUGCCGACUUGUGGUCCUUAGGUUGUAUAAUUUACGAAUUGGUGGUAGGCUCUCCUCCGUUCCAAACGACUUCGAUCCUGCACUUGGUUAAAUUGAUCAGAUUCGAAGCGAUAAAGUGGCCAGAUUUCAUCUCGUCAAAUUGCAAGAGCUUCUUGCAGGGAUUACUUCAGAAAGAUCCGUCCCAGCGAUUAACUUGGCCGGCUCUCCUCGAACAUCCGUUCGUCAAGGAUCGGAUUAUAAUAGUCGGUGGUACUGUGCCCACUCCGUUCACAACUCCGUUAUCCGCGAGUCAAGCGAGAGCAAAACAGCAGCAGUUACAGAGCCUGGCAAUACGCUCUGCGAAUCAGUCCAAAUUUGUGGAGAGAGCGGUUCAAAAGAUGCAGGAGCAAGAGGGCAAGUACCGUCAGCGAACGUGCCUGUCGCAACCAGGUUACCCAAUUUCUCCCGCUUAUUGUCAGUAUGGGAUAAACCACUGUCAGGCAUUACGUCGUAGUGAACCAAGCGGCACUGAUUCCAGCGCCAGCGUAGAUGUUCUGUUGGGAAAUCUCAGCCUCAGGGCAUCUCUGAGAAGCGAUCUCUUAGCUGCCGAUCACGCGAUAUGUCAGAGCGACUGCCCGCACAACGCGAACGUGCAGCAGAAUUUGCAGCCGACCGAGGGUUGUUACCCUAAAUCUAUUCAACAGCAAACGGCUGAUAAUUACUCGGGGCCACAAGUAGACCCGGAGACGCAUCACGCUAAUGCCCAGGGCGACGGGGUUAACGUGGGUCAUCAACAUGCAGAAAAAUGCUCCUCACACGUGGACCAGACGCACGGGGAUGGUGAUUGCAAGCAGAGCAGCUUGAGCAUCGACUAUGAGCAAGAGUUUGGCGAGAGAAACUCGAAGAAGCACGCAAGACUGCCAGACUGGGAUCCGAAAGCGGUGGAGAGGCCGAUCGAGAACGAAGAGUGGGUCGCGUUUCUGCAGAGCUCGAUGGAAGAGAUAAUGGAAGGCGAGGUUGACUCGAUGCUGCAACAAAACUGCGUCUCCGUCUUCGUUUCUCCUCUGAGAAAUUCGGCAGCCAGUUCUCGAGUCGUCGAGUACGUAGCUUGUCUAUUGUCGUUGCCGUUCACCGUGCCGGUCAGUAAGGAGAACCUCGGCAAGAUCAAGCAGGUUUACCUGGACGUGAGAGUAGUACCGAAUCUCGUUUACGCGAUAAAACUGCUGAUGUCGGAACGUUCCGAAAGUGAGUCAAACACGGAAACGAGACCGGCAUCCUCCCUGUCCGCGGACGAGCUGCAGGCUCUCGAAUAUUCGAUGCUGGUCCUUUGUAGAUUGGUUCACGAGCAAGACCAAUUUCUCAUGCAGUUUUGCGACGCCGUUUACAUCGUGAACGGAAUGCCACUUCUGCAGCAACUGCUAACCUUGGAAAAGAGGAAGGCGAGAGUCGUUGCGGAUCUCGUUGCGAUUUUGAAUAACAUACUACGGUCUCAGCCAGAGUACGCUGAGCUGGUGGAGGCAGUCGUGCUGCGUACGAAAGAGCCAGGAGCUUCAGUGGAACAAUUCAAGAAGCUCCUUAAUCAUCAACGAACCAACUUGCGAGCAAGAACGUGCACAAUGGUCAGGCUGUUGGGUAGAUUUUGCUGCAGAGCGUUGCAGCAAGUGUGGGAUAGCUCAUUGAGGAAUCACAUUGAGGAUUUAAUGGAGGACGAGGAUGAGUUUGUGCGAAACAAGAUUACGACUUAAACAUAACGCAGUGAUAAAAUAAUGAAGAUUUAAAGAGUAAACGUAAUAAAAUUUUGCUUAUCAGCAAAGAGAUAAUUUCUCUUAGUAGAAAAAGGUAUCGCUAUAUCCAGGAAAGAAAGAGUAAAGGUCGAAAAUGGGCCGCCAAGGAUGCCGUAACUGAAUUGAAACAACUGACGUAUUACAAUUAGUAGAAAAAUCCUGCCAAUUGAUGUUAUUUUAUUGUAGGACGAAACGAGGAGAAUAAUUUUAGGGAUCAAACUCGACUCUUGUCAUCCAUUGACGUGCCUUAUUGAUCGCCUUGAGGUCAUGAGUUUAAAUGUUUUAUUUUUAGACAGACUGAUAAUUUUACUGUGACACGAAUUUUGAAAUAUUGUGAUAUUUUUAUAAGUCGCGCCAAGUGUAAUAAACAAAUUUGUAUCUAUAUAGGCAUAAACACGAUAAUCGCUUACAGAA